This 496-nucleotide ribosomal RNA is filed under the name uncultured Planctomycetota bacterium. RNAcentral describes it as "bacterial SSU rRNA". It matches the Rfam family "Bacterial small subunit ribosomal RNA", at positions 335 to 826 of the family's 1533-position model. The record is from RNAcentral. Lineage: Bacteria; Pseudomonadati; Planctomycetota.
ACACCUACGGGUGGCAGCAGUCGAGAAUCUUCGGCAAUGGGCGCAAGCCUGACCGAGCGACGCCGCGUGUGGGAUGAAGGCCUUCGGGUUGUAAACCACUGUCGGAGGGGAGGAAAUACACGUGGGUUCUCCCACGUGCUUGACCUAUCCUCGGAGGAAGGACGGGCUAAGUUCGUGCCAGCAGCCGCGGUAAGACGAACCGUCCGAACGUUAUUCGGAAUUACUGGGCUUAAAGGGUGCGUAGGCGGCGUAGAAAGUAGGGUGUGAAAUCCCUCGGCUUAACCGAGGAACCGCGCUCUAAACUACUAUGCUUGGGGGAGAUAGAGGUGAGCGGAACUUAGGGUGGAGCGGUGAAAUGCGUUGAUAUCCUAAGGAACACCGGUGGCGAAAGCGGCUCACUGGAUCUUUUCUGACGCUGAGGCACGAAAGCUAGGGUAGCGAACGGGAUUAGAUACCCCGGUAGUCCUAGCCGUAAACGAUGAGCACUGGAUUGGAG